This 363-nucleotide ribosomal RNA is filed under the name uncultured soil bacterium. Its description in RNAcentral is "bacterial SSU rRNA". It matches the Rfam family "Bacterial small subunit ribosomal RNA", at positions 94 to 495 of the family's 1533-position model. The record is from RNAcentral.
UGUGGCGCACGGGUGAGUAACACGUAGCUAACCUGCCCUCGAGUGGGGGAUAACCUGGGGAAACCUGGGCUAAUACCGCAUGAUAUCCCCGCAGGCAAAGGCCCGCUGGAGGAGGGGGCUGCGGCCGAUUAGCUAGUUGGUGAGGUAACGGCUCACCAAGGCGAUGAUCGGUAGCCGGCCUGAGAGGGCGCACGGCCACACUGGCACUGAAACACGGGCCAGACUCCUACGGGAGGCAGCAGUGGGGAAUUUUGCACAAUGCCCGAAAGGGUGAUGCAGCAACGCCGCGUGAGGGAUGAAGGCCUUCGGGUCGUAAACCUCUUUCGAUCGGGAAAAAUGAUGGUACCGGAUGAAGAAGCCCCG